RNAcentral lists this transfer RNA (67 nucleotides) under Mantophryne lateralis (Victoria Archipelago frog). RNAcentral's name for it is "tRNA-Glu". It matches the Rfam family "tRNA". From Rfam's summary of the family: Transfer RNA (tRNA) molecules are approximately 80 nucleotides in length. Their secondary structure includes four short double-helical elements and three loops (D, anti-codon, and T loops). Further hydrogen bonds mediate the characteristic L-shaped molecular structure. tRNAs have two regions of fundamental functional importance: the anti-codon, which is responsible for specific mRNA codon recognition, and the 3' end, to which the tRNAs corresponding amino acid is attached (by aminoacyl-tRNA synthetases). tRNAs cope with the degeneracy of the genetic code in two manners: having more than one tRNA (with a specific anti-codon) for a particular amino acid; and 'wobble' base-pairing, i.e. permitting non-standard base-pairing at the 3rd anti-codon position. Lineage: Eukaryota; Metazoa; Chordata; Amphibia; Anura; Microhylidae. The record is from RNAcentral.
GUUCUUGUAGUUGAUACAACAAUAGUUUUUCAGACUAUAGGUCUAGGUUAAAGUCCUAGUAGGAAUA